Oncorhynchus tshawytscha (Chinook salmon) is the source of this 122-nucleotide long non-coding RNA. RefSeq lists it as uncharacterized. Lineage: Eukaryota; Metazoa; Chordata; Actinopteri; Salmoniformes; Salmonidae. The record is from RefSeq and is a predicted model, not a curated record. The transcript is spliced from 3 exons.
CAUGGAGACUGCAUGUUUACAGGUCAUUCUAAGUGCUAUGCUAGCAUGGAGACUGCAUGUUUACAGGUCAUUCUAAGUGCUAUGCUAGCAUGGAGACUGCAUGUUUACAGGUCAUUCUAAGU